Molecule: ribosomal RNA, 436 nt
Filed under: uncultured bacterium
Lineage: Bacteria
Description: bacterial SSU rRNA
Rfam family: Bacterial small subunit ribosomal RNA
Source: RNAcentral
AAUCAACGCUGGCGGCGUGCCUCAGACAUGCAAGUCGAACGCGAAAGUUCCCUUCGGGGGCGAGUAGAGUGGCGCACGGGUGAGUAACACGUAGGUAAUCUACCUUUGGGUGGGGAAGUAACAGCCGGAAACGGCUGCUAAUACCGCAUAAUGCAGCGGCUCGACAUCGAGACAGUUGUUAAAGCGGGGGAUCGCAAGACCUCGCGCCUAAAGAGGAGCCUGCGGCGGAUUAGCUUGUUGGUGAGGUAAUGGCUCACCAAGGCAUCGAUCCGUAGCCGGCCUGAGAGGGCGGUCGGCCACACUGACACUGACAUACGGUCAGACUCCUACGGGAGCAGCAGUCGGAAUUUUGGGCAAUGGGCGCAAGCCUGACCCAGCAACGCCGCGUGAAGGAUGAAAAUCCCUCGGGAUGUAAACUUCGCAAGAACAGGAAGAA